RNAcentral lists this ribosomal RNA (459 nucleotides) under uncultured bacterium. RNAcentral describes it as "SSU rRNA". It matches the Rfam family "Bacterial small subunit ribosomal RNA", at positions 26 to 518 of the family's 1533-position model. The record is from RNAcentral.
AGAAUCAACGCUGGCGGCGUGCCUAACACAUGCAAGUCGAACGAGAAAGUGGAGCAAUCCAUUAGUAAAGUGGCGCACGGGUGAGUAACACGUGACUAACCUACCUUUUAGUGGGGGAUAACCUAGGGAAACCUGGGCUAAUACCGCAUAAUACCUACGGGUCAAAGCAGCAAUGCGCUGAAAGAGGGGGUCGCGGUCGAUUAGUUAGUUGGCAGGGUAAUGGCCUACCAAGACUGUGAUCGAUAUCCGGCCUGAGAGGGCGCACGGACACACUGGAACUGAAACACGGUCCAGACUCCUACGGGAGGCAGCAGUGGGAAUUUUGCGCAAUGGGGGAAACCCUGACGCAGCAACGCCGCGUGGAGGAUGAAGUCCCUUGGGACGUAAACUCCUUUCGAUCGGGACGAUAAUGACGGUACCGGAAGAAGAAGCCCCGGCUAACUUCGUGCCAGCAGCCGC